ACGGAAGGCAGCAGUGGGGAAUAUUGGACAAUGGGGGAAACCCUGAUCCAGCGACGUCGCGUGAGUGAAGAAGUAUUUCGGUAUGUAAAGCUCUAUCAGCAAGGAAGAAAAUGACGGUACUUGACUAAGAAGCUCCGGCUAAAUACGUGCCAGCAGCCGCGGUAAUACGUAUGGAGCAAGCGUUAUCCGGAUUUACUGGGUGUAAAGGGAGCGUAGACGGCAAAGCAAGUCUGAAGUGAAAUCCCGGGGCUCAACCCCGGAACUGCUUUGGAAACUGUUUAGCUAGAGCGCAGGAGAGGUAAGCGGAAUUCCUAGUGUAGCGGUGAAAUGCGUAGAUAUUAGGAGGAACACCAGUGGCGAAGGCGGCUUACUGGACUGUAACUGACGUUGAGGCUCGAAAGCGUGGGGAGCAAACAGGAUUAGAUACCCUGGUA
RNAcentral lists this ribosomal RNA (434 nucleotides) under uncultured Lachnospiraceae bacterium. RNAcentral describes it as "partial 16S ribosomal RNA". It matches the Rfam family "Bacterial small subunit ribosomal RNA", at positions 341 to 792 of the family's 1533-position model. The record is from RNAcentral. Lineage: Bacteria; Bacillati; Bacillota; Clostridia; Lachnospirales; Lachnospiraceae.